Molecule: ribosomal RNA, 533 nt
Filed under: uncultured bacterium
Lineage: Bacteria
Description: bacterial SSU rRNA
Rfam family: Bacterial small subunit ribosomal RNA
Source: RNAcentral
UUGAANUGGGCGCAGCCUGAUCCAGCAAUGCCGCGUGAGUGAUGAAGGCCUUCGGGUUGUAAAGCUCUUUCGGCGGGGACGAUGAUGACGGUACCCGCAGAAGAAGCCCCGGCUAACUUCGUGCCAGCAGCCGCGGUAAUACGAAGGGGGCGAGCGUUGUUCGGAAUCACUGGGCGUAAAGGGCGCGUAGGCGGCCGUUCUAGUCGAGUGUGAAAGCCCCGGGCUCAACCUGGGAAUGGCGCUCGAGACGGGACGGCUCGAGAUCGGGAGAGGAGAGUGGAAUUCCCAGUGUAGAGGUGAAAUUCGUAGAUAUUGGGAAGAACACCGGUGGCGAAGGCGGCUCUCUGGACCGACACUGACGCUGAGGCGCGAAAGCGUGGGGAGCAAACAGGAUUAGAUACCCUGGUAGUCCACGCUGUAAACGAUGUGUGCUAGACGUUGGGGGGCCUAGCUCCCCGGUGUCGCAGCCAACGCUUUAAGCACACCGCCUGGGGAGUACGGCCGCAAGGUUAAAACUCAAAGGAAUUGACGGA